AGAAAGAGCCAGGAUUGGAGAAGUCAGGGGGAGGAGAUGGAAGAGAACCAGAGAACCAGGGAGCGGCUCCACUCAGGGGGCACACUCGCAGCCAGGGCUCAUCACUCAUCUAUUCAGCUCUUCAUUCAGCAAACAUUCAUCAGGACCUCGGAUAUGCCAGGCACCAUGCCAGUCGCCAAGGAUCUAGCACUUAUUUUCCACAACUCAGCAACCAGUUGGGCUGCUUCCCUCUGACGCACUUGCUUCUCAUCCGGGGAGCGGGGAGUCUCCGUCUUCACAAAUGAGAAAACAGGCUUUAAGAAGAUAACUCACUGGCCUAAGUCAAGUGGCCGAGCUGGGAUUUGAACCCUAAGCCUUUGAGAAGCCAAAGUCCCUUCUUCAGCUGGGUGGUCAUGGAGUCACCUGAAUAUCUCAUCAGAAGAUGGCUUCUGAGAGUCUGUCCUAUCCCAAUGGCCCCAACAAGAUACAUAUAGACCUUAGAUUAUUGCUACCUGCGUGGAUUCAAAUGACCAAGGCACAACAAUGAGGGGAAUCCAAGCAAUGCCAGCCCAGGUGGUUGGGUCCUCAGGGCCCAAACACUUGACUCUCACCUGUCUCCACACUUGGUCUGCUGUGUGACUCAGAAAACACCUGCCCAUCCUCUCUGGGCCAGGCCACAGGCAAUGCCCUCCAAAAAGAGGUCAGCAAAGUGUGAGAUUCAGAUAAUCUCAGAAGUCACCUGUUCAAAUAUGACUAUCAUAUAAAUACAGACCUCAGGAAGAAAAGUGAGAAAAACAAACUUCAUCCCCUUCCUCUCCGUGGCCCCUGCGGAACACCAGGACCCUUAGCUCUUGUAGGACAUGCCCCCCAGCCACUUCUGGGCUCUGACCCAUUGACCUGGUCCUAGGAAGCCUCCAAACCCCUAAGGAAAGGGCCGUGCCUCUCCAAGGCCAGGCUGGGCAGGGC
This 945-nucleotide long non-coding RNA is filed under the name Homo sapiens (human). Its description in RNAcentral is "HSALNT0365308". The record is from RNAcentral. Lineage: Eukaryota; Metazoa; Chordata; Mammalia; Primates; Hominidae.